RNAcentral lists this transfer RNA (74 nucleotides) under Gadus morhua (Atlantic cod). RNAcentral's name for it is "tRNA-Ile (TAT) (tRNA-Ile-TAT-9-1)". It matches the Rfam family "tRNA". From Rfam's summary of the family: Transfer RNA (tRNA) molecules are approximately 80 nucleotides in length. Their secondary structure includes four short double-helical elements and three loops (D, anti-codon, and T loops). Further hydrogen bonds mediate the characteristic L-shaped molecular structure. tRNAs have two regions of fundamental functional importance: the anti-codon, which is responsible for specific mRNA codon recognition, and the 3' end, to which the tRNAs corresponding amino acid is attached (by aminoacyl-tRNA synthetases). tRNAs cope with the degeneracy of the genetic code in two manners: having more than one tRNA (with a specific anti-codon) for a particular amino acid; and 'wobble' base-pairing, i.e. permitting non-standard base-pairing at the 3rd anti-codon position. The record is from RNAcentral. Lineage: Eukaryota; Metazoa; Chordata; Actinopteri; Gadiformes; Gadidae.
GCUCCAGUGGCGCAAUUGGUCAGCGUGCGGUACUUAUAAUGCCGAGGUUGUCAGUUUGAGCCUCACCUGGAGCA